RNAcentral lists this ribosomal RNA (301 nucleotides) under uncultured bacterium. RNAcentral describes it as "partial 16S ribosomal RNA". It matches the Rfam family "Bacterial small subunit ribosomal RNA", at positions 509 to 807 of the family's 1533-position model. The record is from RNAcentral.
CAGCCGCCGCGGUAAUACAGAGGGUGCGAGCGUUAAUCGGAUUUACUGGGCGUAAAGCGUGCGUAGGCGGCUAAUUGAGUCGGAUGUGAAAUCCCUGAGCUUAACUUAGGAAUUGCAUUCGAUACUGGGAAGCUAGAGUAUGGGAGAGGAUGGUAGAAUUCCAGGUGUAGCGGUGAAAUGCGUAGAGAUCUGGAGGAAUACCGAUGGCGAAGGCAGCCAUCUGGCCUAAUACUGACGCUGAGGUACGAAAGCAUGGGGAGCAAACAGGAUUAGAUACCCCGGUAGUCCCUGUCUCUUAUAC